GGAAGAGAGUGGGACCUAAUGCAGGAUCCUCUGGACCUGUGCUUUUGAGACUAUGAGACUAGAAAUCCAGGGAGAGUCGGGAGGUUGGCAGAAGGAGCAGAAGUUGGACAGAUGCACAGGACAGGCAGUGGCAGCACAAGGGGAGCUGUGAGUAAGCCGUGGAGAUGCGUCAGCAGAAGCCGUGAGAGAAAAGCUCGGCCAAGCAGAGGGGGAGGGAAUUGCCUGGGAAUAGCAGGAGGCAGAGAAUGAUGGAGGAGAAUUAAAAUGAAGAUCUACAAAUCCCUGCUGCUGAGAAGCACCGAGACACCAUGAGCGCUGGGACUGCCUGGGAAUGUACGACACCAAGAGUGAACCCUAAUGUAAACUCUGGACUUUGCAUGGUAAUGACGUGUCAAUACUUUCUCUGGAGAACUUCUUGUCACAGUCCACCUCUCCAAGGACAUUCGCAAAUCCCACUUCUUCUAGGAAACUUUCCAUGAUCACUUGACUUGAAAUGGACUCUUCUCUCCUUAACUCCUGUUUGGAUUAUUUUCAGUUGCAUAAGUAACUACCCAAAACUUAGUGCUUACAAAUUAAAACAAUAAUUUACUAUCUCUUGAAAUGCUGUGGGCUUACUAGGCAUUCUUCUGCAUCACAAGGUGUGGCUGGGUGCUGGCACAGCUGAAGUCAACCGGGGCCUUAACUGGACUGGACCGUCUAAGACGGCUCACUCCCAUGGCUGACAGUUGAUGCUCAGCUGGGGCUGUCAAUGGGGCACCUGUAGAUGACAGGUCACAGCAUGGCAGCUAGGUUCCUAGAGGGAGCAUCCUGAGAAAAUCAGGAGGAAGCCACAAGGCUUCUGAUGGUUUAGCCUUGGAAGGCACCCAAAGUCAUUUCAGCUGCAUUCUGUCGUCAUGGGCCAGCCCAGUUUUGAGGAGGUAAAAAGGACAAAUAGAUCCUGGCUCUUAAUGGAGGCAGUGUCAAGGAAUUUGCAGUUAUCUUCAACCCACCACAGCUCUCAUGGUGUUGUUUCCACAUACUGAUUAGAGCGUUUGUCACCUUUUGCCUAUAUAACAAUUAUUUAAGUGUCUUUUAUCUCACAUACUAGAUUUUAUGCCCCUGAGGAGAGACUACAUCUUAUUUAACUCAAUUCUUUCAAAGUAAUAAUAACCACAAUAAUAACAAACAUUUAUUAAGUGCCUACUAUGUGCUUGAUCUCAUCUAUUCAAACACAUGAUCUCCUCUAGUCUCUACUCUGACAGGGUAGACAUUAUCCCCAUUUUACUGAUUGGGAAACCGAGGCACAGAGAGAUUCAGCCUUGCCCAAAGCCAUAUACAGUCAUGAGCUGAAUAACGACAUUUCAGUCAACAACAGACUGUGUAUACAACAGUGGUCCCAUAAGAUUAGCACCGUAUAGCCUAGGUGUGUAGUAGGCUUUACCAUCUAGGUUUGUGUAAGUACUGUAGGGGAGGAAGAAAUUCUCCUCUACCCUCUAGGUUCUUGUGGCUGGUUUAAGAAUGAAAUUGACCUGAGACAGUUAGAGGGAGAAAAGCAAACAAAAGUUUAAUAGCAUGUAUAUAGGGGAGAAGUCCAGGAAAACCAAGUAACUUACCAAAAUGGCUGAAGCCCUCACCUUAAGUACCAUCCUCAGCUAAUGAGAAAAGAUGUUGGGGUGGGGAGAGUCAAGAACUUCAAAGGGAAGGAAGGCAAUUCACAGGUAGGUGAAAAGGAGCAAAUGUUUGGAAAACAAGUGUGUAUUUGGCCACACAGAAACAGAAGAACACAGAGGGGAGCCCAACAAACUGUCUACCGUCUAGUUCAUGUUACACUAAGGUGAUAGCUCACUUCCUGAGACAGGCUUUUUUUUUAAAUCUGAUUUCUUUUAGGCAGUUAAGCGGGAGGUAACAAGAAAAACUUUCUGAGUCCUUUGUUUCUUAAAAAUAAUCAGCCUAAAAUAGUCCUCAUGUUAAAGAGACACAUUUGGGGUGGCAAAUUUUGUUCCCCUUCAGUACACUCUCUGAUGUUCACACGACAAAAUUGCCUAACAAUGUAUUUCUCAGGACGUGUCCCCGUCAUUAAGUGAUGCAUGGCUGUAAUUGGUAGGUGGCAGAGCCAGAAUUUUGAACCCAUUGAAGAGUCUGUCUUCUCAUUAUCUUUUCCAUUGCCAUCUCACAAUCUUGGCACCAAAGAAAUGUGCUCAAGUCAACCUGUGUUGGUGUUACUGAAGUGUCGCUGGGCACAAGAACAAAAGGGAAAGAAGAAGAAAGAAUGCAGAACGGAAAGUGAGGGGUGGCACAGAGUUGUCAUCAAGUGAGCCAGGUGGCUCCAGUUGACACAUGGUCCAGAGGUCCAGUGCUGAGCAUCCUCUGUAGCCUGCUGGAUAGAGGGCAGAGUGUUUGGGAGCUCAGCAAGGAAUGGGAGUAUUUAUUGGGUCUGAGUGCCUGAUUCGAAACUCUUCUCCAAAAUUCCUAUUUUCUGUCUGCCAAAAUAAGUGAUGGACUUUACAGUUCAUAUUCUAGCUCAUCUGCCCAGGUCAGGGACCUACCACUCUGAAUUUCUCGUCUGCUUCUUCCCAGCUAGAAGUAAGUCUCGAUUUACUUCCCAUCAGGAACAAGCACCAUCUCCCUGCUCAGUGAGAUCCUAGUUUUAGAAGAUUCUGCCUUUAUCCUGGGAAUAUCUAUGUAUGUGCACAAAGCCCCUCUCUGUGGAGGAGACACUUAAACCUAAAAUAAGUGGGAACUUCAUAUCCAGGGAGAUGGCAAAUAAAAUGUCAAUAUUUUUUACAUUAAACAACCUCUUAUAUAUCUGUUCUUCUGUGAACGUAAUGGCACCGAUGGGCCAAAAGUCCAAAAAAACUGCUUCAGUUCCUGUGUUAGUCCGUUCAGGCUGCGGUAACAAAAGCCCACAGCCUGGGUGGGGGGUGGUAGUUUAUAAACAACAGACAUUUAUUUCUCACAGUUCUGGAGUCUGGGAAGUCCAAGAUCAUGGUGUCAGCAUGGUUGGACAUGGGCCCUCUUUCUGGUUCACCGCCUGCACCCUCUCGCUGUGUCCUCACAUCGUGGAAGGGGCAAAGGAUCAUUCUGAAGCCUCUUUUUUUCAAGGCACUAAUCCCUUGGUGAGGGCUGCACCCUCAUGACUUAAGCACAUCCCAAAGGUCCCAUCUCCUAAUACCAUCACCACUGAGGGUUAGGAUUUCAACAUUUGAGUCUGCGGGGGACACAAACAUUCAAACCGUACAGUUCCUCAAUGUGAAUGUCAACAAUUGGUGCAAAAAGUGGAGGCACAGAUUGUUUUAGCCUCUUUCCCCUGUGGCCCCCACACUCAUAGGGCUGAUCAUCCCCUGCUCACGUGUGCACCAUUCCCAAAGGACAUCACCGUGAAAUGGUGGCUAUGUUCUUGGACAUGACAGAGCAAGUGUCUUCAGUACUUCAAGGACACAAUUAUACAGCUCUAUGCACCUUGGGAAUUACAAAGACAUUCACUGAUCAGCCUGGUCAGCUGACAUUCUUAAUUGUUUACAGUCAAUUCUCCUUGCUCCAGGUCCACCCAUGAGUCCCUAGAAGGAUAAAAGGGUAGAUCAGCUUAUAAAAACACUGCCUUAAGAACCUAAAAAGUCUGAAAUGACAAAACUCUGCCAAACAAUGGAGAAAUCCAUUGAAAAUACCAACUACUUGUGUAGUAAGGUCAAGCAAGCAUGUCACUAGGCCUUACUGUAUCAGAGGCAAAAUUAUCUAACAUGGAUGAUUGGUCCUACUGAAUAUUUUGGUUCCUUCAACUCCCUACCACCCACCCCCGUAAUCAUUCUCCACACAGCAGCCAGGGCUAGCUUUUAGAAAUUGAAAUCAGAUUGUAUGAGCCCUUGCUAAAACACCCCAAAGUCUUCCUAAUCACUUAGAAUAAUCUCCAAACAUCUGAGCAGAUCCUUAGAAGGUUCUAGAUCAUUUGUCCCUGCCUAUCUCUUCUACCUCAUCUCCCUCCAUUGUCCCAUAUUAACAGGUCCUGCCAUACAAGUUUCCUGUUUGUUCAAGAACACACAUCAAGUCUGAUCUGUCCUCUGGACCUUUGCACCUGCAGUGCCCUCUGCCUGAAAUGCCCAGCUCUUGGCCUGGCUUUCUUUCUUCUUUCAAGUAUCAGUUCAAGUACCACUUCCUUGACCACACAGUCUAAAGCAGUCCUCACCCCACUUCGCUCUCCAUUGGUGCUCUUAUUUUCUUUUCUAUAGCACCUUCAACCUAGAUACUUACACGUUUAUCACAGCCCCUCACUUGAGAGUGUAUGUACCAUGACGCAGGAACUUGAUGGACCUCCCCUGUGUCUCCAGCACCUUCCAGAAUACUUGGGACAAGUAGGUACUCAAUAUUUGUUGAAUGACUGAGCAUAUUAGUUUCUUAUAUCCUCCAGGCAUUUUAGAGACACUGUCGCCUGGGGAAGACACUUGGAAAUUUAACCUCUCUUGAGAAGGCAGGGAAAGCCUCGCUUCUCAUUAAUUAUUUAAAUACCUACAAAGCCUGGGAUUUCAGGAGGAUUAAGAAUCUUCCUCAUUCCACUUGUCACCGCUACAUGCUCUCAGGCCUAAUCAUAGCACCUGUGACUCUUACACCGACGGCUGGUGUCUGGUCUCCUGAGAGCCUUAGUGUAGCAAGAAAGCAUCUACAGACUGUUAACACUGGCAUCUUUUGAGAUUUUAAUUAUUGGAGUAUUUUUUUUCUAUCUCAUUCAUGGUCAGGAUUUUGAUUAACUUGUAAGUGGGAGCUUUGGCAAUUAGAGGAGUUUGGAGGAGGGUGUUUAGGGCUGGUAAGAAAUGCCAGGGCCGCCCUUAGCUGCUAGUGCAGGAAUUGGCGGUAUGCCAGCUGCCUCCCCCAUCUUUGCAUCCAUCUACACCCCAUGUGGGAGGAUGGGCACGCAGCAGGAUUGUUGGCUGCAAUGGGUCGUCGGACUUGCUGGGAGCUCUCUGCUUCCCAGAUAUUUCUUUCUGUCUACGGCAUCUUUGUGGAUGCGGGAGUCUCCAAGUUUUCAGCAGGUUAGGCCAGCAGGCAGCAGCUCACUCUGGUGUUAUGUAGUUGGAGCACCUUCUUCUCAGCACUUGGGCUUCCAUCCAGGCUGCCUCAGCGCUUCUGAACGACCAAGGUCUGGAAAUAGUUCAUCCACGGAGCUGGCUUGGCAGAGGCAGGCUGCUCAGCUGAGCAGUGCGGCGGCUCUGACUGCUCUCUCCUCAGGGGUCCCAGGUCCACCCAUCGCUUCUCACCUCCUCCUAUUCUGGGCUUUCAGAGCCCAGUUCUGCAUUUAGAUGUAGCUUUGCAGGGAGAUAGGUCUGGGUUUGAACCUUUACCAACCUGUUUAACCCUCUGAGCCUCAAUUUCUUUAUCCGUAAGAUGGGGACGAGAACCACAACCUACCUCACAAGUUUUUGAGAGGAUUGAAUGAGACACUGGGUGCAAAGUGUCUAGAACAGUAAAUGUCAGCUGUUAUCAUUUGGGUUCAAGUUUAUGUGUGACACCUUAAGCCAGUUCACCCUCUGGGUCUCAGCUUUCUCACCUAUAAAUUGAGGAUAAUGCCUCUUGUAGUUGUGUGAUAAUGAAACGAGGGUGCAAGAUAAAUUGUCAAGCAUUUUCCAAAUGCGGCCUGAUUUCAUCAGUGAGUCUUUGACUUGCAUCUACCUCUGGCCAUGAAGUUAAGUUGAAUUUCUCACAAAACCCUAAACAUGGACAUGUUGUCUGCCUUACUCGUGAAAAGAAUGUAGAAAUAUAGAAUGGGGCGGGCUAUAUGCAAACACUGUUGGGAAGUUAAAAAAAAAAAGGCAAAUAGCAUUAAAAUGAUUAUUGCAUGAGUGACCAGACUUUCGUCCCUCAGGGGAAAAUAUUUCCCAAUUUGCUUAGAGUAGCAAAAAAGAGGGAAAAAAAAGAUUUGAUGGUUAUUUCAAAUCUGUCUCCCCCAGGGAAAUUAAAUCUGAGUUAUGAGGUAUUUUUCAUGAAGCCAGAGUCUAGCAUAAAACUAACAAUUAAAAAAACCACUGUGAGAUGACCAUAAGUGGAUUCGGACGGAAUUGUCCUUAGCACAGGGAUGCGGGAGCACACCGUCAUCCCUGCCACAGAACUUCCUCCGACCCCCGCCCUACCCCACAUCCUUGGCCUGGUGGGGUCUGGGUACAUCCUUUAGGAGUUAUGUCACCUGCCAUGUUCCCAUCGCCCUGCAGGCAGGGACCUCCCAGUGUUCACAGCUGGUAAACUGACAGGCCUCCUCAGUCUCUGUCACUCCCACCGGCCCUCCUCAUCCCCAGCAGGAAUUGGUGCUGCUGUGAGGACCGCAAAGGCAGCGGGGCAUUUUUAUUCUGAAGUAACAAGUUAUUACAUGUAAACCAUGGUUUCUGUUUUUAUUUUUUCAAAAAUGACACUGAGUACUUUUCCCAGAAACCUGAUUGUUUUUAGCCUCAUCUUUGGUCUUCUCUCCUAUGGGCAGUUUCAAAGGUCAGGGGCGUUUCUCAUUUGAAUCUCCCCAGCACCCCUUUCUGAAGCAGAGCCGUCUUCUCUGUAGGGAACCCAUGCAAGGGGAGCUCACUUUGCCCAUUCGCAGGACCCAGAACUGGCCAAUCCUUGUAUCCUACACUCUUGGCCAUUGUGGCUGGUUCCCAUAGGCACAUGAGGCAAAUCAAGCAAAUCAGGAGCUUCCUUGGAUCUUUCCUGAUAUUGCAAUUGGCAAAGGCCGUGUCUUUCCCCUGGGGUUGUCAGGCUGGGAGGAUUUCAGUCUGAGGCUGCUGGUAGCCAUGAGGCCAGGGCCUGCCUGAGAGACAAGAGAUCUCUGAUAGCAUUGUUGGCACUCUGGAUCAAGCCCUGCCUGAAGCCACUACAGUAGGGCACUAUGUGAACUAAUAAAUACCCUCCAUGUCGCUUUUUUUGAAGGGGGUUUCUGUCACUGUCAACUGCAAACAUCUUGACUGAUACAGUUAGAUUAGCCUCUGUGUUAGGUUUUUUGAAAAUUCUUGAAGAAUGGCUAAGAUGGAAUGAAUGCGGUGUAAAGAAACGUGAAAUAGAGGGGAGCAUACAGGUUAAAUUUGGAAUUUCCUUGAAAAAUAAUGCCUCCCAUUUACUGAACACCUGCGAGUGCCACACAUUUUAUAUACCCCAUCUUCUUGGCUUCUCACUGCCAUCCUGCAGGUUGUAUUAUAACCAUUUUAGAGAGCAGCAAACUGAGGCUUGGAGGAACUAAGAGACUUGCCAAAGACCACUCAGGGAGGAAGUAGUGGAGCCAGGAUUUUGCACUCGAGUUUUUGGUGAAACAACUUCCAUCCUAUAGAUCUAAGACUAUUGCUUACUCAUUCAUUCAGCACUUAUUGGACAUUAGGUAUUUGCCAGGCAGGAUGUUAGGCACCGGGGAUAUGAAAUGAAUAUGAUAGCGCACAUCCUUCAGCUGCUCAGAGUCCAGUGGGGGAGACCCCCAUUAGGGUCAUUAUUAUGGGUUGAAUGGUAUCCCCCAAAAAGAUAUCUUGAACUCCUAACCCCUGGUAUGCGUGAAUGUGAGAUUCUUUGGGAAUAGGGUCUAUGCCCAUGUGAUCAAGAUAAGGCGAGGCCAUUAGGGCAGGCCCUAGUCCAGUAUGACUGGGUCCUUCUAAGAGGGAAAUUUCGACCCCCGGACCCACGGGAAAAGGCCACGUGAAGCUGGAGGCAGAGAUUGGAGUGAUGCUUCUCCAAGCCAAGGAACACCAAGGAUUGUCCUCUGUCACCAGAUGCUGGGGGAGAGGCAUGGAACAGAUUCUCCCUACGAGCUCUCAGAAGGAACCAGCCCGGCCAACACCCUGAUGAAGGACUUGCAGCCUCCAGAACUGCGAGACAAGACAUUUCGGUUGUUUUGAGUGACUCAGUUUACGACAGCCCUAGAAAACAAAUACAGUCAUCCAGGGUUCCACCUCCAGGAACCUGUGUUGAUUUGAAUCUCGUCUAAGAUUGCUCUGCCUGUGGCCCCCCCAGCUGACAACCUGGGACAAGCCUCUGCAGCCUGUAGUCCCACCCUCCCAUCCAUCACACCUCGCAGGUGGGCUCCUCCCAGCCACAGCUCCCUGUCCUCUUUGCCACAGAUGAGUGAAGCCACUGGGUCCCGGAUUGCCCAGCACCAGGACGCACCCUGUGUGACAAUGCUCCCCUCCCCCGACCUCUGAACACACUCUGGCCCCAAUAGCCGCCCGGGGCCCACAGUUUGCUUUGGACAGGCAAGUACCUGGAGGCAGCGGACAGCUAAUACCAGGGCGUUGCCCUUCCUUUAUAUUCCAAAGCUGUUCUGUUUCCAGGAUACGAGUCUCAUGAUUCCUCCUUUGUGAUUAAUGUUGAAGCCAUUUCUUGAUGUACUGUCUUAAUAACACGGUGAAGGCAAACAGCCUUUGGUUGGCGAAUGUGACAGCACUUUUAUCUGACCAGCCUCACCCUGGCCUAUUCCUGCAAACCAGGUAGGCAGCAUGUGGAUGUGGAAGACGUGAAACGAGGGGAAAUAAAGUCUGAAUUAAUCGGCAAUUUGCCUAGGCUGGUGAUUAGCUAUAAUUUGGACCUGCUGCCUAGCGUUUUAAGCGCUGGCCCAACUUCCUUUAGUUUUUGACUGUCUUGAAAUGCCAACAAAACUCUCCUAAUGAGAAGCAUUUACCUGCUGAUGUGUUUGGAGGGCAAAACGCCAGCUCAUUAAACGUGGUGAAGCCUCCAGUAGCUAAAGCUUUCCUGGUGGGUGAACUUAAACUUUCCAUACUCCUAAAGAAGGGGGCGACGUCAGUUAUAAUUAUUCCCAAGUGGGUGUCCUCCUGUCAACACCUCAAGGCCAAGGCCCUGAUCUUGCUUUUUUAAUUUUUGUACCUUUAAGAACAUCUAACAGAGUGGGUACUUCAGGCCUGCUGGUUGGCUUAAGUACAGGGAUUUAAUUCGGGCCACUGUGACCCUAGUAUGUUUUUAUCACACAUGGUGGUUAAGAAUUUAGGCUUUGGAGCUUAAGAGGCAGGCUGCCUGGAUUAGAAUGCAAGCUGGCUGUGUGACUUCGGGAAGGUGAGUUAACCUCUCUGAGCUUCAGUCUCUUAUCUGCAAAAUGAGUUGUUAGAAUGAGUCAAUGAGAUAACGUACCUGAAGUGCUCAGCAAUCAACAAAAAGAGCCAUUAUUAUUAACUGGUAAUUGGAAGAUCCGGACUUAGCCAGGUUUGUCUGACUCCAGAACCCAGGCUGUUGCCCAUUUUGGGGCUCAGCAUGACUUCCACUGGAUUUCUCUCCACCAUAGGGUGAGCUGGCAUAACCAGACGCAGGACCAGCAGCCACGUGCUGGAAGAGCCAUGCUGGACAUGCUAAAUCCUUUCUCAGAUGCCUGGACAGAGCUCCCUAAGCCCCCAAAAUCACAGCCAAGAAGCCCCAUACUCCCACCCAAGUUGGUCAUGCAGAAAUCUCGGGAGCGUCUCUGUCUCUUUGUGGGAAGAGAGAAGAUUUCCAGACUCCUUUCGGGUCUCUCUCUCUCCCAGGGCUUGUCAAAGUCCCCUGUUGUGAGGACAGGAGCUCAAGGAGAGAAGACACACUUUAGGGUCCUACUCAGCUCCCCUCCCCCAGAGGUACAGGCGACUGUGGCCUCUCAGAUCUGGAAGCAGUCUUCCCAGCUCUCCAUCCGUACUAGUUUCUUAUGGCUGCCAUAACAAAGUACCAAAAACUGAGUGGCUUAAAACAGAAAUUUAUUGUCUCACAGUUCUGGAGGCUAGAAGUCCAAGAUGAGGGUGUCGGCAGGGCCGUGCUCUCUGACAGCUCUAGGGGAAAACCCUUGCUGGCCUCUUCCAGCUUCUGCUGUUUGGAGUGGUCCUAGGUCUUCCUUGGCUCCUUAGAUGCAUCACUGCGGUCACAUGGCCAUCUUCUCCCUGUGAGUCUUCACACAGUGUUUCCUCUGUGCAUGUCUGUGCAUGUGUCCAAAUUUCUCCUUUUUAUAAGGACACCGGUUAUCUUGGAUCAGGGUCCACCCUAAUGACCUCAUUUUACCUUGAUUUUCUCUGUUAAGACCCUAUUUCCAAAUAAGGUCACAUUCUGAGUUACUGGGGGUUAGAACUUUAGCAUUUCUUUCUUUGGGAGGCGGAAUUCAACUCACCACACCAUCUGUGAUGGUUAAUUUUAUGUGUCAACUUGGUUAGGCUAUCACACCCAGCUAUUUGGUCAAACAUUAUUCCAGAUAUUUCUGUGAAGGUAUUUUUUAGACAAGAUGGACAUUUAAAUCAGUCGAUUUUGAGUAAAGCAGAUUACCCUCCAUCCGAUCAGUGAAAGGCCUUAACAGAAAAAGAUUCACGUCCCUCGAAGAAGAGAGUAUCCUGCCUGCAGGCGACCUUGGUACUCAAAGUGAAAUCCUUCCCUGGAUGUCUAGCCUCCCGGCCUACCCUGCAGAUUUUGGACUGGCCAAGCCUCCACAAUCAACUGAGCCAAUCCUUAAAACAAAUUCUCUCUCUAUAGAUAGAUAGAUCGAUCGCUUGAUAGAUAGAUAGAUCAAUCUAUCUAUGGCUAGGGAUCUAUAUCUGUAUCUAUAUCUCAUAUAGAUAGAGUUGGUUCUGUUUCUCCAUUGAUUCUGUUUCUCUGAAGAACCCUGACUGAUACACCAUCCAAGGGUCCCUUGGCGAUGGUGCCACGAUCGUAGCAAGGCUGGCAAUGCCUCACCCAGACAGAGGAGAAUGCCUGGGGCUGCCUUUCAACUCACCUCACUGUAAACAGUCAGUCAACCAGCAGACACGCAUUUCUGAGCCUUCGAUUUUUAUUAAUCCCUCGGCAAAGGAAGUUUGGACAGUUCAGUCUCAGUGUGAAUUGCAUUCAGAGACCAUGGAGAAGGGACAAGAAGAGAUUCCCUAGCUUCACAAGCUGGUGUGGUUCUGGAGCUGCUGUUCUGUACAAGGAGGACAGAAACACUCAUUUAAAAUAAUGCAUAAAAUGUUAAAGUCUGUCACAUUGUUCAUUGUCUAGUUACCUUUUGCUGUCUAACAAACUGCUUCAAAAUUUACUGGCUGGAAACUAUAACUAUUUAUUUAUUUGUGACUCUGAGGGUCAGCAGUUCAUGCUGGGCUCAACAGGGUGGUUCUCCUGCUUGAUGGCUUCUGGAGUCAUUUAUGCAGCUUCUGUCACCUGGUAGAACUGGGUGUCUUACUUAGUUGGAGCUGCUGUAACAAAAAUACCAUAGUCUUUGUGGCUUACACAAAAGAAAUUUACUCCUCCCAGUUCUGAAAGCUGCGAAGUCGAAGGUGAAGGUGCCAGCUGAUUCCCUGAGGGCUCUUCCUGGUUUGUGGAGGGACACCUUCUUGCUGUGUUAUCUCAUAACAAGGACAAAGAUCAUCUCUCUCCCGCCUCCCCUUAAAAAGGCAUCAAUCCCGUUCAGGAGGGCUCCUCUCUCAUGACCUAAUUACCUCCCAAAGGUCCCAACUCCAAAUACCAUUACACGGGCCAUUAUGGCUUCCACAUGUGAAUUUGGGGGAAAAGCGAGCAUUCUGUCCGUAGCACUGGGACGAGAUGGUCCAAGAUGGCUUCACACACAUCUGGCCAUUGGUACUGGCUGUUGCCUGGGCUUCUCUCUCCAUUCGAGUUCUCAUCUUCAAGAUAGCUAGCCUGGGCCUCUUUACCUGGUGGUCCUGUGUUCUAAGAAGGUGAGAGUAGCAGCUGCUAGGCCCCUUAAGACCUAGACUCAGAAGUCACCAAAACAUCACUUCCAUUGUAUUCCUUCAGCCAAAGCAAGUUACAAAGUCUUCUUCUGUUCAAGGUGAGGAAGAAUGGACUCCACCACUUGACAGGAGGUGGUGCAACGAUGUUCACGCACUGAUGUGAGGAUUUAUUACAGCCAACUUUGCAAACAAUCUACCACGUUUACUGAGCAAAUUAAAUCAGUGAAUGUAAAGGGCAAGUUAUGUCAGGAUACAUCAACAGAGGUGACAGCACGACACUGAUCAGACCCAGAGAUCAGAGGGGCAUUUCAGACGUGUGAGGACAUUGCUGUUUAUUACGCCAUUUGAUUGAGAACCCGGCAGGGAAGGUCUUUGGGAUCCGCCUGAUUCAAAGUCUAGUCUAUAAAUUUUUUCCUGUGAAAUUAGAUAUUUGCCUCAUCUCUGUUACAGCACAGCCAGAGGCAUCUGGCUGGGCCUGCUAACUUAUGUUCUUAGAUUUUCCUUGGCAGAAAUUAAUUUCUUUUUCUUAAGAAGUUUUUUUUCUCACUCCAAGGCUGAGUCUUUGCGUUAAUACCGGGGAUCCACAAUUCAUAAAUUUGUACCUCUUGGUUCAUUGUUUCAAAAUGAGACUUUUAAUAGAUUCCAAAGACUUAAUAAGAGUGCCGCCUAGUCACAUAAUGAAGCUACUGUGCACGUGGCUGACAGGUAGUAAUUUAUUAUUAUCCAUGUCUCUGAUAAGAGCUGUGCCAUGCACAGUGGGUGCCUAAUAAAUAUUAGCUAUUACAACAUAAGCGAUGGAAGAAAGUUUGUCCCUUUGUGUCUCAGCCAACCGUUCAUAACACAUUCUUCUAUUACCAUUGUAUCUAUUUUCUGUUAAUUUUAUCAAUUAUAUGUAGAGGGGAACUAUAGCCAUGUGUCUUUAUUAUUGUGAGUUUAAAUGUCCUAAUUUAUCCUGCCACUGUGUUUUGCUUAGCAGAGCAAGUCACAAUAUUUUUCUGUCCCUGCAGUGAAAGACUGCAGUAAAUUGAUCUUGCUAACAACAGAUAAUUAUUAGCUUCCUCAAGAAUUUUACUGUAUAUGCAUUGCUAAGCAUUCCAGGAGGAUUAAUAUUUCUAAGAAUUUUGGACAAGAUGAGGUAUCGGCCAAAAGAGAGGGCUGUUUUAAUGUUGGCCCUUGCUCCUGUUGCAUAUCCACCACCGAUCAUUUGUUAAUGCUGCUUGUGUUUCAAUCUGUGGUCACUCCAAGAAUGAAUGCUCCUCUGCUGACUAAUACACCCAGUUCCAAAGGGAGAAGCAGGCAACUCAGAACACUGGACGAUGCCGGCAGUCACCAGGUAUGCAUCCAAGAGCGACAUCUUCACAGGGUGAUGCUUUUCUGAAAAGUCGGCAGUGAAACGGCAAAUUUUAAAGCACGGUUCAUUGAUGUUCAAGGGUUUCUUCUUCAGAUGAGCAGAGCUAUUCUGGCACUUGGAAUUGCACAGUUUUUUUAAAUUUUUUUCUUCCUUAUUUGUUUGUUAUGUUGUCAUUGGGAGCAGGCAGAGGAAAGGCAAGGGGUUUUAAGAUUCAGCAGAGGACUGCUGAGAGUCAGAGCUCGGUGGGGCUGGAAAGUCUUUGCCAAGCUAAGGGUCCAAAAGAAAUGGAAACCUUCUGAAACAUCCGGUCCAUUCAUACAUUGAUUAUAAAUAGAUGCCUAACCAGACUGCACUGACAUAUGUAUUAAAACCAUUUAAUUGGGGGCCGGCCCUGUGGCUGAGUGGUUAAGUUCACGUGCUCUGCUUCAGCAGUCGCAGGUUUCGCCGGUUGGGAUCCUGGGCGUGGACAUGGCACUGCUCACCAGGCCACGUUGAGGCGGUGUCCCACAUAGCACAACCAGAGGCACUCACAACUAGAAUGUACAACUAUGUACUAGGGGGCUUUGGGGAGAAGAAGAAGAAGAAAAAAAGAAGAUUGGCAACAGAUGUUAGCUCAGGUGCCAAUCUUUAAAAAAAAAACCCAGUUAAUUCUUUUAAUACAUUUCUAGUGAAUUUUCUAUUUAGGAAAACUUUGGGUAAACCACAAGUAGGCAAAUGUUGAUUUAUUCCCUUAGGGUUGGAAUGAGGGUUGGGUCUGGGUGGGCCUCUCUGGAGGAAGUGAGGGCUGGGUGAGGCGGUAGGCCUGAUGGGAGGUGAGGCAGGAGGGGAGGCAGCCCCAGGUCUGUGGGAUUCAGCCCCAUGCUAUGUAGUUUGGCCAACGGAGGGCACAGAAGGCAUUAAGAAAGGCAGAGACAGGGUCAGGUAGGUUGCAGCGGGAAGGGUAACUUAGGCAUCUUAGGUUGGGUUGCAGAGAAGCUGAGCCUGAGACAGGCUUCUUGGGCAAGGAGUUUCUUGAGGGAACGCCCUCAGGUGAAACAUGGAAGGGUUUGAGGGAGACUUGAACAUGACAGGCUAAGAUGUGGUCUAGCCUCAGGCUGAUCCCAUGGGGAGCUCUGGAGCGUGAGGGCCAGCCUUGUGCCUCAUUAUCAGGCAGCCGUGGCUGUGGGCUGUCCCCAGAGGGAAGGCAUUUUCUCCUGGUGAAAAAGCUUAGUGUUUUUCUCCCAGGGCAAGUCCCAGGAGAAGGGAGCAGCUGUGAGCUGUUAGCAGCCCCCAGUCAAGGGGAUGUGGGUGAGGCACCAAGCACAUCUACUUCCAGAGGGAAGCAAGAGCAGUGGAGCAGGCUCUCAGCAUCCUCCGAGAGGGGGGAGACUGCGGCAUGCCAUGGCCAUAAAGGAAAGGGCAAAGCAGUUCUUGUAAUGGAAGAAGCAUUAGGCUUUCUAGAGAGAGCCGCUAAGUAAGGGAUGAGAACAACAUGACAUUACCCGCGGUUCGGCUGAGGGCAAAAUCUAAGAGCUGUAUCCAUCAACCACGAAGGAAAGACGCCCACAGUUCAGAAUUACCCAGAGGUAAAGGGAGUGGGAUUUGGGUAACAUUGAGGUAUGUGUCAAGCAAGGCAGAGAAGGGGCUAUGCCAACAUUCUAAAAAUAAAUGAUUCUCUCCUGUUUCCAUCCGAGGUGCUCAAGGUAAUUUGCAAACAUUUGCAGGCAAGUUUUUUCCGGGCUGAACUGCAGGCAAAGCUCCCACUGACUUCACAGGGAGCUCCCAGGGGACACGCAGCAAGGCACAAAGGUGCUCACUGAUGAUCAGGCCUGGACAGGAGGAAAUGUCUCUAGAACACUCUUUAGAUCCCUCUGGAUCAUGGUGGAGGAAGGAUGGAUAAAUGAAUGAGCAGGUGUGUAUUGACCUUCACCAUGUGCAAGGUGCUGUGCCACAGCUGGGAAAGGUACAAAGAAUUCUGGAACGCUUUCCUGACCCUCAGAGUCUGAAAUCUCGCAGAAGAGGCCCAUCUAUGCCCAAGGUUAGCAGCACAGCUUUGGAGCCAGAUGGCCUGGGUUUGAAUCUUGGCUCUGCCACACUGACUCUUGGACCUUAGGCAAGUUAUGCAACCUCUCUGUGCCUCAGUUUUCUCAUCUGGGGUUAACAAUAGUAUGUACCUCAUACGGUCGUUGUGAGGAAUAAACAUAUUAAUGAAAGAGCUUAAAACUUGGUCAUUACUCUUAUAAAUGAGAGCAAAGCAGCAAACAUUUAUAAACUAUUCACAGCUGAGUGCUGUACAUGCUUCAUCUCAUCUGAUCCACAAACGACAUGUGAGGUGGGGACCGCCAUUAUCCCCAUUUUACCGACAAGGAAAUGGAGGCUCAGAGAAGUUAAGUAAGUAACUUGUAUAAAACCACAAAGUUAGGAAGUGGUAGAGGUGGGAUUUGUACCCAGAGCUAAGGCACUUAGCCAUGAUUCUAGAAUGUGUCUCCUAUAAGAAAAUCAAUGAGGGCCAAAUGCUUUAGGUUCUCAGAGAACCGAGAGCUCUCUGGGAACUGGGGCGAUCAUGGUAGGUUUCUGCUGAGUCUUCCUUUUUGAUGUAGGAGGAUCAUUUAUAUAUUCAGCCAUAUUUAUUGAGCAUGUAAUAUGAUCGGGCACAGAGCUGGAGACCUUGUGAGUGAUGCAUGGUUUCUACUCAGUUUAAAAGGGAAGACAUCAACGAUCGAAGGCUGCAGCAGCAGGGAGCGGGUCAUGCUGAGCAGGGCCUGGAGGCAGGAGUGGGCGAAUCUUUCAGGGAUGGGAAGAUAUGGACGAAGGGAGCAGGGCAAGGGAGCAUCCCUAAGGAGGUGAAGGCUAUGGCACAACAUGAGCAAAGGCUCAGAGGGAUGAAACAGCUCAAUGAAACCCUAAGUAUUUACAUAGUUGAAGCCACGCGUGACAGUGGGUAGGAUGGGAAGAAAUAAUUAUACUAACUGACACCCUUUGAAUGCACAUGAUGUCUUCUGCACUCUCUCUUUUAUUCUCUCCCUGGAGUGGGCAAACUAUGGCUUGUGGGCCAAUUCCAGGCCACCACCUGUUUUUGUAUGGCCCACAAGCCAAGAAUGAUUUCUACAGAUGAACAUUUGUAACUGAUUUUGAUGAUGAUUUUGAACCCUAAUUAAGCAAAAUGUUAUCCUUCCCCCGAAAAGAGCACUCCAUUGUUACUAGCAGACCCGUGUUACAAAAAAAUUGUCCUUGAUUAUUAUUAUAUUUUGAAAUUUGUCAAUAAAAUACGUUGUGGAAAUUAAUUCUCUCUCUAGUUAUGUAAGUACCUACAUAAUAGUCUUAAUUUUGUAUCUUGACCUACAAAACUUGAAAUAUUUACAACCUGGCCCUUUAUAGGAAAAGCCUGCCAAAGACUGUUCCUUCCAAAUGCCCAGGAGGCAUUGUUCUUAUUUAAGGAUAAGGGAACUGAUGCACAGAAGGAUUAAUUGCAGAGCAAGCCGGGAUGGAAGUAAGAUUUGAACCCAGGCAGUCUUGUCCUAGGGGCCCAAGCUCUGAACUGCACUUCCACCAGUGUUUGCAGAGGCCUGGGGAAGAAGCUCAGGCCUGAACUAGAGCAGGGCAGAGCGAAUGGGGGAACAAAACUGCCCGGAUGUGGAGACAAGCAAGAAGAAGGAGGCAUCCCAGCUGAGCCAGGCUUCCCUGAUGUGAGCGGAACUGCGUUGGGGGCCGUGGGCACAAUGGGAGCCAGCCUUGUUUCCCAGGAAAGGACCCCUGACCAGGGGCAUUGGAUUUCUCGCUUGGAUGACUGGGCCUAUUCGCAGUGCUGCGGGAAAUGCCAGAGGAAGAGCAGGGCUGGCGAGCUGAGGGUGGGACGUUCAACUUGGACACGUGGAGCUGGAAAUGCCUGGGGGAUACAUGUGUGCGGAUGUCUAGGAGGAGGGUGGAUAACAGAGUCUGGGCUCAGGAGCUAAGAGCAGAGUUGGGAGUCAUUAGCCAUGGAGGCUGAAACCUCGGAGAAUCAGGAUUCAUACACUAAGGCAGGAGAUUAUUCCCUCCGUUAACAGCAGUUGAAGAGUUCCUCUUCUCAGAACGGGGCUGUGGACAGAGCACUUUUCAUCUUCGAAGCUCUAGGUGGAGGGGAGUGGGAGCCAUGCUCCUGGGUUCAGUGGGCCUAGGAGAACAAGGAAACAGGGCUAUUUUUUAAAUGAGUGCCCAUGUCAUUAUAUGAUGUCUCUUGUCACACACACUCACUCCAAAGGAUCAUAGAGGAUGUAUUUUUAAAACUCCGGUGUGUGUAUUAAUUUACACAGAAUUAUCUGAUUAACUUCGAAGGCUGUUGACUUGAGCAUGAAGAUUCCCAAGUAAAAGCAGAAAGAAAAUGCUCAGUGUAAUUGAGAACACAAGGAGAAUUUCCUUCCAGUGAAGUUUCAAAAAGACAAAGGAAGAAGGAGCCUCUGAUUACAUAAUUCCUACCUGGGAAAGUAAAAAUCUUUGAUUAUCUAUUUAUGGCCUGCCAUACUCAGGGCCCAGAGGAAAUCAGACAAGCCUGAAAGAAACUAAUUUCCACCACUUCUCCUUUUCCUCUCUCUUGGUUUGUGGCCUCAUAACCUUGAGGAGCUGGCCUGUGUGUGCUUCUGCAUGGCAUGAGGUCCACUUCCACAGAUCUGCUGAGGAGCAGGCCCUGCUGGCCAGGGAGAGACGGAGGUAAAGGCAAAGAGGUGGUGAAGCCAUCACCUAAAGGGAACAGGACUGAGUCAACCUUGCCAGCCGAGGGGAUUCUUACAGACCUAAUGUUUUCCUAAGAGUUCUUGGGGCAAAUAAGGAGAAAAAGAUGAGGCUGUCUGAAGUUUUAGAGGAAGUAAGGGGUAAUCAAGGUUAGGGGCAUGCCCAGUCUUUGGAAUUUUUGCCUUGGUUUUCCUUGGGCCCGCUCCUGGCCUAUAAGGUGUCUGUGUGCAACUUAUAAAAGGUGACCCCACUACCCCUGGCCCCUGAUGCUGGGCAAGCCUGAGGCUGGGACUGUUGGCGGGGUGAGGGAGAGUAGGCCCCCACUGGCCCUCUUGGGUGAGCCUAGGGCAGAGCACAGCUGCACAUCUGGCCCCCCCAGGUCCUGUGUGUCCUACUCAUUAAUUUAUAGAAGAGCAGCAUCUGGAAAGCGGGUGCCGUAGAAAACCCGAUGAUGUGGCAGGGUUCACCUAAACUUAAUGCAUGUCCGUCUCAUACACCGAUUUGUCCUUUUCCUUGGACAAACACUGUCUCAGUAGGCCUGGGGACGUCUGUCUUUUCAUGAACUCUCCUCUCCCCUGGAUUUAAUUCUAUAAGGGAUCCUCUAGGAGGCACUUUGAAAAACUGCAGCCACGCUUUGAGCUGCUAGGCUUCCACUGAAAAAAUGAUUACUUCGAUGUUCUAAAUGGAACUGGAGAUCAAAUCAAUAAGAUCUAGGAAAUCCAUUAAAAAAAAAUGCAACAUGGUCCCUUAUCUAAUAUAAGAAUGAGAUUUUCAUGAGAUGUCUUUGAAAGAGAAAAAUGCAUGUGCAUAAAUACACAACAUCUGUAUAAACUAAAACAAUUAUCUUUCCUGAUUUGAAGGAAGCAUAUAAUGUAGGUGGAGGAGAGAUUUGUAUGUUUACCUCUGAACCUGAUUUGAUUUUAAUAUCAUUCUGUCAUUUGUGAACAGUUCCCAAGCGCCUUGUCAGGAAGAGUCGCUUAUUAAGCCACUGAAAGUAUCUUAUAAAAAUAGCAGACAAUCUAAACUGUGACUCAUUCCACGAAACCCCAGUGGCCCCAGCACGACUAGCUUCUGCACCGACUUAGUUGUGCAAACAUGUGCCAGCAUCCUUUCCAUGGCAGAUUCAGUGCUGACCUCAGAGUGAAGGAAGAUUCAUAAGACAUAGCCUGAUCUGAAAGGAGUUCACAACCCAGCAGGGAGGGAGCAAAAUACUAUACAAGAUAAGGUUAAACCAUUUGAGAUCAGUUAGAAGGGAUUGCUCUGAAGUCGUAUUGAUGGAGUACAGGUCUGUGUAGAGUGUGUUAGGAACAGAGAAGAGGGGAAACUGACCCAACCUAGGGGUGCUGGGGGAUUGUCAAGACAGAGACAUUUGAACAGUGUCUUGAAGGAUACGUAAGAGUUUGAAAGUGGCAAGGGGAGUCUUUUCAGCAGAAGAGCAGCACACGCAAAGGUAUGGAGCUAUGACUUUGCACAGCUAAUAAAGGAACAGCAAAGAGCUCUCCAUCGCUAGACAGCAAGGUGUAUGUGAAACUGACAAAGGAUGAAACUGGGGAAAAAAGCAGGCCAGACUCAGUGUGAAGGUGAGCCCUGAAGGUUUUCAGGCUGAGAAAGGCAUGAGCAGAUUGGUGUUUUAGAGGGAUUCAUCUGAUGGCCUCUGAUUUGCAGAAUAGACCUCUCAAUGAGAUCCACCUUAAGUGUGAUCCAUGGUGUGGUGGUGUUUUUCUCACUGAUUCAGAAAAUUAAUCCAUUUCCUAGAGUUCUUGGCUUAGACUCAGGAAGUGUUUAUACCCUAGAACAGAGGUCUGCAAACUAUGGCUCAUGGGCCAUAUCUGGCCCACCAGCUGUUUUUGUAAAUAAGGUUUUAUUGGCACAUAGCCACAUCAUUCCAUCCAGUAUCGUCUGUGGCUGCUUUCGCAUUCUGGCUGAUUUCGAAGCUGAGUUGAGUAGUUGCAACAAAGACUGUAUGACUACAAGGCCUGAAAUACUUACGAUUUGGUCCUUUACAGAAAAAGUUUGCUGACCCUUGCCCUUUGGUUCUUUGAAGUCUUUGCCAUCUUUCUCAUCAGAUGGGAAACUUCAGAGACAACCUUGAAGUUUAGCCUCAUUACCUUUUGUACUGCUUGCUUCCGCCUUUAUCAAGUGGCCCAAUUCAGUUGCUCUCUUCAAGCCGGUAGUGAGAAACACAGGGGAGAACCACGUACGAAAGAGGCCAUAAGACAGCGAGCACAAGGAGCCAGGCAAGUCUGGUCAAACCACUUCAUUUCUUCUCUACUGGAGUCCCUGCAUAUGAGAUCAACAGCCUGCCACCGACACCAAGCAUAUUGAGGGCAGCAGAGUUCGGAAACCCCUCACCAGGUCCGCUUGGGCAGGGAGGAACUGAUUAGGUGGUUCUGGUAAUAGACCAACACUGGCCCCCUAAAUGUACAGAUUAAUGGGCUGACAUCAAUCUUAGGGAGAUCUUUAACAUGUUCCUGUAAGAUUCCGGACUUACUCCUGUCCUCUUCAGCAUUUCUAUUGGAACACAUAAAUCAGAAGCCGUGUUAUCAAUGUGGAGUUUCCCCCUAUCUGGGGGAAGUGGGACAGCUAAUAACUGGCAUUGCUUUGUCAGCAUCAGUGUUUCAAAAAAUUCUUGAUGAGGUAGAGCAGUGUCCAAACUCUGCUCUCUUCCAGAGGGACAGUUUCUCCUAAGUGAGGAAUGUGAGUCUUAGAAGGUCCACCCCUAACAUCCAUGGGCCCUGGGGCAAGAGUAUAAACGGAGGCCAGCACACCAUAUGUCCAAAUACUUAGAAGUUAUAAAUCAAGCUAACAAACUGCUAGACAAGACGUAUUCUCUCCUCCUACCUUGACAAAUAUACCUUCUUCACCACCUAGAAGCCCAGAUUCAAAUUCAGAAUUCUCUGACUACUCGGAAUCUUAAAGCUGGAACAUGGCGGCUUGGAGAGAGCCAGUCCUCACCUGGCGCUCCCAGCUCUUGACCCACCUUUUUACUUUCUGACCUGCUCUUGGGCUCCUCAGUCACUUCUCUCCAGUUGCUUUCUCUUUACUGCUUCACCAGUGAGAGCUAUCAUUUGGUGCCAUUCAUCCGGUUCUGCCCUCUGGCUUCUAUGCUUAAACCCAAUUCCUACUUCCACCACUGAUUCAUUGGUUUCCAGUCUCUUCAGGUAACCCCCGGUUUAGUGCUUACAUUUGGUAUAUCCCCAGGCAAUCGUGUCCCUGAUGGAUUCUCCCCAUGGCUAGGAAACAGAACCUGGCCAACUCUCACCCACCUUCCAGCUCCUGUUCCCUCUCCCCAACUCCCACCGGUGCCAAUGUCUCCUGACCUUAAUUACAAAGAAUGAACACAUACUUCAGCAAAUUUGGGGCAGCCAGGGGUGGUAGGUAGUCCCACCCAGAAGCAAUAUAUUUCUUUGAAUGCUAGUGUUUUUAUCUUCAAAGGGUCACAUGCUUUAAGAAAAGUUUUAAUCACUGAGAUAUGAUUUAUGUAUAACAUACAUUCAAAAAAGUACACAAAACAUAAAUAUACAGCUUAACGAAUUAUCACAAGGCAUAUGACCACCAGGUAAACAAAUGCCCAGAAGCCCCCCACCCUCUGUGCCUCACUGUCUUCUCCCCAAGGGAAACCAACCACUAUUCUGACUGCUGAUGCUAUUGUUCAGUUUUGCCUGGUUUUGGAGUUUUUGUAAACGGAAUCAAACACUGCUAAUUCCUUUGCAUCCAGCUUCUUUCACGCAACAUAUCUGUGAGAUUUAUCUAUGAUGUUUUGUGUAGUUCUAGUCCACUCGUUUUCAUUGCUGUGUGUCCAUCAUAUGAGUACACCACAAUUUAUUUAUACAUUUCAUAGUCGAUGGGCACUUAGGCUGUCUCCAGUUGUUGAUUAUUAUGUCUAAUACUAAACAUUCUUGUAAAUAUCUAUUGGUGUACCUGAGCACGAAUUUGGGACUGUAUCUAUCUCAAAGUCUGUUGCUGUAUCGUGGGUUUUGCAUAUUUCAACUUAGUCGAUACCUCCAAAGAGUUUUCCAGAGUGGUUGAACCAAUCUGUACUCCCACCUUCAGUGUCUGUGGUUUCUUGUGGCUCCACAUUUUCAUAGGGUUUUUCUUUUAUUCUUCUCCAUGAUAUAUCCAUGUUUGUUUCCAUGUUGAAAAAUGUUACACAUUUUUUUCCAAAAAGGGGAAAUGAUGCUUCUGAAAGGCCUACAAAGUUUAUCGUGAGGCUUCACUUGUCCCAUGUUGGAGGAGCUCAGCUGUAUAUUAACCAAGCUGACCUCUAGAAGGUUCUUUGCUCCAUCAUGACCUUUUGGCCUUUUACCAAACAGUUUCAUAUUCAGGGAACAGCUUCUCUCCUCUGUCUGGCAUAGAACCUGCAUUAUAUUGACUGAAUAUGAAGAGAUCCACCACUGACCUUUGAUCCGUUUUGCCAAGACAGCAUUUAUCUGAAUAAUCUUAUUUUGACUACAGGUUCAUCUAUUUGUUGCUUAGAUCAACCUCUGUGUCAUUUCGAGGAAACAGACCAUGUACUUCUUUAAUAUACAACUCCAUCACCUGCAAGAAGUCUUGGGACCCCAUGGGGAGUAAUCAGUAUUUGCUAACCGACUGACUGCUCAGUGUAGCCUAAAAUCCAUCUUUAUUUUUAUAUGAUAGUUUAAGUGAUUUAAUGAGUGGCUGUCACUGACAAGGCACUUGGGGACUGUGCAUAAAAUGACACAAUAAUAUAAAAAUAAAGCUUUGCUCAGAGACUAAUACACAGAAC
This 22393-nucleotide long non-coding RNA is filed under the name Equus caballus (horse). RNAcentral describes it as "lncRNA (ENSECAG00000032350.3)". The record is from RNAcentral. Lineage: Eukaryota; Metazoa; Chordata; Mammalia; Perissodactyla; Equidae.